RNAcentral lists this ribosomal RNA (433 nucleotides) under uncultured bacterium. Its description in RNAcentral is "partial 16S ribosomal RNA". It matches the Rfam family "Bacterial small subunit ribosomal RNA", at positions 29 to 507 of the family's 1533-position model. The record is from RNAcentral.
AACGAACGCUGGCGGCAUGCCUAACACAUGCAAGUCGAACGAGACCUUCGGGUCUAGUGGCGCACGGGUGCGUAACGCGUGGGAAGCUGCACAUGGGUUCGGAAUAACAGUGAGAAAUUACUGCUAAUACCGGAUGAUGUCUUCGGACCAAAGAUUUAUCGCCCAGGGAUGAGCCCGCGUAGGAUUAGCUAGUUGGUGGGGUAAUGGCCUACCAAGGCGACGAUCCUUAGCUGGUCUGAGAGGAUGAUCAGCCACACUGGGACUGAGACGCGGCCCGGACUCCUACGCGAUGCAGCAGUGGGGAAUAUUGGACCAUGGGCGCAAGCCUGAUCCAGCAAUGCCGCGUGAGUGAUGAAGGCCUUAGGGUUGUAAAGCUCUUUUACCCGGGAUGAUAAUGACGGUACCGGGUGAAUAAGCUCCGGCUAACUCCGUG